RNAcentral lists this ribosomal RNA (576 nucleotides) under uncultured bacterium. RNAcentral describes it as "bacterial SSU rRNA". It matches the Rfam family "Bacterial small subunit ribosomal RNA", at positions 102 to 694 of the family's 1533-position model. The record is from RNAcentral.
ACGGGUGAGUAACACGUGGGUAACCUGCCUCAUAGAGGGGAAUAGCCUUCCGAAAGGAAGAUUAAUACCGCAUAAGAUUGUAGUGCCGCAUGGCAUAGCAAUUAAAGGAGUAAUCCGCUAUGAGAUGGACCCGCGUCGCAUUAGCUAGUUGGUGAGGUAACGGCUCACCAAGGCGACGAUGCGUAGCCGACCUGAGAGGGUGAUCGGCCACAUUGGGACUGAGACACGGCCCAGACUCCUACGGGAGGCAGCAGUGGGGAAUAUUGCACAAUGGGGGAAACCCUGAUGCAGCAACGCCGCGUGAGUGAUGACGGUCUUCGGAUUGUAAAACUCUGUCUUCAGGGACGAUAAUGACGGUACCUGAGGAGGAAGCCACGGCUAACUACGUGCCAGCAGCCGCGGUAAUACGUAGGUGGCAAGCGUUGUCCGGAUUUACUGGGCGUAAAGGGAGCGUAGGUGGAUAUUUAAGUGGGAUGUGAAAUACUCGGGCUUAACUUGGGUGCUGCAUUCCAAACUGGAUAUCUAGAGUGCAGGAGAGGAAAGUAGAAUUCCUAGUGUAGCGGUGAAAUGCGUAGA